CCCUAAGUAACUGCGAGUGAAGCGGGAAAAGCUCAAAUUUAAAAUCUGGUGGUCUUUGGCCAUCCGAGUUGUAAUCUAGAGAAGUGUUAUCCGCGCUGGACCGUGUACAAGUCUCCUGGAAUGGAGCGUCAUAGAGGGUGAGAAUCCCGUCUUUGACACGGACUGCCAGGGCUUUGUGAUGCGCUCUCAAAGAGUCGAGUUGUUUGGGAAUGCAGCUCAAAAUGGGUGGUAAAUUCCAUCUAAAGCUAAAUAUUGGCGAGAGACCGAUAGCGAACAAGUACCGUGAGGGAAAGAUGAAAAGAACUUUGGAAAGAGAGUUAAACAGUACGUGAAAUUGCUGAAAGGGAAACGCUUGAAGUCAGUCGCGUUGGCCGGGAAUCAACCUUGCUUUUGCUGGGCGUACUUUCCGGUUGACGGGUCAGCAUCAAUUUUGACCGUUGGAUAAAGUUCAAGGGAAUGUGGCAUCUUCGGAUGUGUUAUAGCCUUUGUUCGCAUACAACGGUUGGGAUUGAGGAACUCAGCACGCCGCAAGGCCGGGUAUUUAUACUACGUUCGUGCUUAGGAUGCUGGCAUAAUGGCUUUAAUCGACCCGUCUUGAAACACGGACCAAGGAGUCUAACAUGCCUGCGAGUGUUUGGGUGGAAAACCCGAGCGCGUAAUGAAAGUGAAAGUUGAGAUCCCUGUCGUGGGGAGCAUCGACGCCCGGACCAGACCUUUUGUGACGGAUCCGCGGUAGAGCAUGUAUGUUGGGACCCGAAAGAUGGUGAACUAUGCCUGAAUAGGGUGAAGCCAGAGGAAACUCUGGUGGAGGCUCGUAGCGAUUCUGACGUGCAAAUCGAUCGUCAAAUUUGGGUAUAGGGGCGAAAGACUAAUCGAACCAUCUAGUAGCUGG
RNAcentral lists this ribosomal RNA (892 nucleotides) under Galerina marginata. RNAcentral describes it as "partial large subunit ribosomal RNA". It matches the Rfam family "Eukaryotic large subunit ribosomal RNA", at positions 77 to 954 of the family's 3401-position model. The record is from RNAcentral. Lineage: Eukaryota; Fungi; Basidiomycota; Agaricomycetes; Agaricales; Galerinaceae.